Molecule: signal recognition particle RNA, 249 nt
Filed under: marine sediment metagenome
Also listed under: 1 other name
Description: Bacterial large signal recognition particle RNA
Rfam family: Bacterial large signal recognition particle RNA
About the family: The signal recognition particle (SRP) is a universally conserved ribonucleoprotein involved in the co-translational targeting of proteins to membranes. Archaeal SRP consists of a 7S RNA and homologues of the eukaryotic SRP19 and SRP54 proteins.
Source: RNAcentral
CGCGCAGGGCGGGGGGUUAGCGGUCCCCUGUAUCCAAAACCCGCUAUACGUGGAGCCCUUGGGCCCUCCGAGAGGGCAGGGGGAUGGAACCGGCUCGGAGGCCGCGGCGUAGACGGCCGAGCCCCCUACGACGCAUGCCGGUGAACCCCGCCAGGCCCGGAAGGGAGCAACGGUAAGCCGGCCCCUGCGGGUGAUAGGGGAUCCCUUGGCCCGAGCCAACGCCCCGGGACACGCCCAUUGACCUGCCCG